RNAcentral lists this ribosomal RNA (254 nucleotides) under uncultured bacterium. RNAcentral's name for it is "partial 16S ribosomal RNA". It matches the Rfam family "Bacterial small subunit ribosomal RNA", at positions 524 to 776 of the family's 1533-position model. The record is from RNAcentral.
UACGAAGGGGGCUAGCGUUGCUCGGAAUCACUGGGCGUAAAGGGCGCGUAGGCGGCGUUUUUAAGUCGGGGGGUGAAAGCCUGUGGCUCAACCACAGAAUGGCCUUCGAUACUGGGACGCUUGAGUAUGGUAGAGGUUGGUGGAACUGCGAGUGUAGAGGUGAAUUCGUAGAUAUCGGGAGGAACACCGGUGGCGAAGGCGGCGAUCUGGGUCGAUACUGACGCUGAGGUGCGAAAGCGUGGGGAGCAAACAGG